This 292-nucleotide ribosomal RNA is filed under the name uncultured bacterium. RNAcentral describes it as "partial 16S ribosomal RNA". The record is from RNAcentral.
GGACUACCGGGGUAUCUAAUCCUGUUUGCUCCCCACGCUUUCGUGCCUCAGUGUCAGUAUUAGGCCAGGUAGCCGCCUUCGCCACUGGUGUUCCUUCCGAUCUCUACGCAUUUCACCGCUACACCGGAAAUUCCACUACCCUCUCCCAUACUCGAGUUAAGCAGUAUUAUAUGACCUGCCCAGGUUAAGCCCAGGGAUUUCACACAUAACUUACCCAACCACCUACGCACGCUUUACGCCCAGUAAUUCCGAUUAACGCUUGCACCCUCCGUAUUACCGCGGCGGCUGGCAC